AAAAAGAUCUUGAGGAAAACAUGAUCACUUACAACAAAUUCCAAAUCCUUCCUCCGAUUGUCUGCGUAGUCUUUUAUUGACUCUGAGUGGUGAUGAGAUUCUUGCAGAUGAUGGAAAUCUUGUCUAUCGUCUCUUAAAUGAGAUUUGUUCUAGGAAGACAUUCGUUUCUAACUUUAUCCCGACAAGUAGGGGAUCAACAUGACCUACCAUAUAGGGUUUUAUAUGGAACCAUACCAAUACUGGAGUUAUAGUUAUUGUUGUAAGCAAAUUCUAGUAAGGGUAAAUGCUGGUCCCAACUACUGCUGAAAUACAGUAUAAAGGCUCGUAGCAUGUUCUCCAGCGUAUGAGUGGUUCUUC
RNAcentral lists this long non-coding RNA (357 nucleotides) under Carica papaya (papaya). Its description in RNAcentral is "long non-coding RNA (CPAP_LNC001065)". The record is from RNAcentral. Lineage: Eukaryota; Viridiplantae; Streptophyta; Magnoliopsida; Brassicales; Caricaceae.